CACUUUGCUCCCUCAGCUCAACCAUAAGUUCGACCGCUCUAAGGUACCAAUAGCAGAAAUUUUGAAGGAGACAUGUGAUUGUAUAAAAAAAUUAGAGAGGGAGAUAGACGAUCUAAGUGAGAGGCUAUGGGAGCAGCUCGAGUCAAUGGGAGUUGACUUAGAAAUGGUCAAAAGAGGACUGAAUUGAGAUAAACUAAGAUCUCACGAAUUGGAGACACAACCCUAAGGUCGAUCUCGUCUUCAAGCUAUGGCCGAUAGAGAACCCGUGCUUCAUCUGAAGUUUCUCUUCUUUCACCUAUUUGGUGGCUUGGAUUUCUUCUUGUAUUGGACUUUUUUUCUUUAUUUAGUCUUUGAACUACGUGAUCUAUUAUGUUUGUCCAUGAUCUUUUAUAUUUGUUCUUGUAAUCUAA
This is a long non-coding RNA of Cucurbita moschata (crookneck pumpkin), 410 nucleotides long. RefSeq lists it as uncharacterized. The transcript has 3 exons. Lineage: Eukaryota; Viridiplantae; Streptophyta; Magnoliopsida; Cucurbitales; Cucurbitaceae. The record is from RefSeq and is a predicted model, not a curated record.